RNAcentral lists this ribosomal RNA (523 nucleotides) under uncultured bacterium. RNAcentral describes it as "partial 16S ribosomal RNA". It matches the Rfam family "Bacterial small subunit ribosomal RNA", at positions 28 to 523 of the family's 1533-position model. The record is from RNAcentral.
GACGAACGCUGGCGGCGUGCCUAAUACAUGCAAGUCGAACGCUUUUUCUUUCACCGGAGCUUGCUCCACCGAAAGAAAAAGAGUGGCGAACGGGUGAGUAACACGUGGGUAACCUGCCCAUCAGAAGGGGAUAACACUUGGAAACAGGUGCUAAUACCGUAUAACACUAUUUUCCGCAUGGAAGAAAGUUGAAAGGCGCUUUUGCGUCACUGAGGGAUGGACCCGGGGUGCAUUAGCUAGUUGGUGAGGUAACGGCUCACCAAGGCAACGAUGCAUAGCCGACCUGAGAGGGUGAUCGGCCACACUGGGACUGAGACACGGCCCAGACUCCUACGGGAGGCAGCAGUAGGGAAUCUUCGGCAAUGGACGAAAGUCUGACCGAGCAACGCCGCGUGAGUGAAGAAGGUUUUCGGAUCGUAAAACUCUGUUGUUAGAGAAGAACAAGGAUGAGAGUAGAACGUUCAUCCCCUGACGGUAUCUAACCAGAAAGCCACGGCUAACUACGUGCCAGCAGCCGCGGUAA